UGGGGAGUCUUAGACAAUGGGGGCAACCCUGAUCUAGCCAUGCCGCGUGAGUGAUGAAGGCCUUAGGGUUGUAAAGCUCUUUCAGCUGGGAGGAUAAUGACGGUACCAGCAGAAGAAGCCCCGGCUAACUCCGUGCCAGCAGCCGCGGUAAUACGGAGGGGGCUAGCGUUGUUCGGAAUUACUGGGCGUAAAGCGCACGUAGGCGGACCGGAAAGUUGGGGGUGAAAUCCCGGGGCUCAACCUCGGAACUGCCUUCAAAACUACUGGUCUUGAGUUCGAGAGAGGUGAGUGGAAUUCCGAGUGUAGAGGUGAAAUUCGUAGAUAUUCGGAGGAACACCAGUGGCGAAGGCGGCUCACUGGCUCGAUACUGACGCUGAGGUGCGAAAAGCGUGGGGAGCAAAACAGGAUUAGAUACCCUGGUAGUCCACGCCGUAAAACGAUGAAUGCCGUCGUCGGGUUGCAUGCAAUUCGGUGACACACCUAACGGA
RNAcentral lists this ribosomal RNA (488 nucleotides) under uncultured bacterium. Its description in RNAcentral is "partial 16S ribosomal RNA". It matches the Rfam family "Bacterial small subunit ribosomal RNA", at positions 355 to 859 of the family's 1533-position model. The record is from RNAcentral.